Molecule: long non-coding RNA, 3803 nt
Filed under: Pan troglodytes (chimpanzee)
Lineage: Eukaryota; Metazoa; Chordata; Mammalia; Primates; Hominidae
Description: long non-coding RNA NONPTRT013757
Source: RNAcentral
GGUCCGGUUUUCACACUUUUAUUGUAAAGCUCGGGAAUAAUUACACGGGUCUUUCAUUGACAGCUCAGCAAACAAACCGGAAACGAACCGAACCGGAGGGGGUAGGGGCGGUGCCUGCGCAUGCUCGCGGCGGGGGUGGGGGGUGGGGGUGGGGGUGGGGGGGGGUCAGAGAAAGAGAAAGACAGAAAGAGACAGAAAUCAUUACAAAUCAACGGGAUUGUGCUCGCAGCGCCAGGGAUGGGGUGGGGUGGGGCGGGACACAGUCCCCCCUCCCAGAGAAGUCCCCAGUGGAGACGCCCCUUAAGAGACUUUCUCAUGGCCAACACAAGCCCUCCCAACACCCGGAGACAGCCCCGACCCACGGAAGAAAUGGCUCCAGAGGCCCUACCCUCGGGAGAGAGAGGUAUCCCAGGGCUCCUAGGAGAAAAGACAACUCAGAGAUGCCCAGCCUCAUCCUAAAGUGCUGCAGGGCAGAGAAACCCCCAUAGGAGAGAUGGGGGUAGGGCCAGAAACAUCCCUUCCCAGACGUGUUUCAGAGAUAGCCCCCUUCCCUGGGAAGAGAGAUGGCCCGAAACUGACUUGCCUUAAGUACUCCCAGGAACCCUGGGAGGAAAACAGGCUCCCCAGAGAGCCUGGGUAAUCGGGGGAGACAUGCUCCCGUGGUCCUCAGCGGGAACACAUGUCCCCCGGAGACUCCCAAGGGGAGAGAUAGGGCCUAGAGAGCCCCCAGAGGUGAGGGAUGCCCAGAGAACUUCCCCCCACCCCGGAAUGUGAAACAUGCUUCAAGGACCCUAGGAGAGAAAUAUGUCCCCAUAUACCCUCCCCCUACGGAGAGACAUGCCCUGAAGUAGGGGGAUGGGGACCGACUAGGUCCCCUCUAGGAAGACACAGACUGGGUCAGGCUGGGUUUGAGGGGGGCUCUCCUCUGGCCAAAUGUCGCCUAUUGGUACAUAAAACUGUACGCGACACAGGCAUUGGGGAGGGGCUUCACAGACCUAGGACCCACAGGGAUAGUCCCCAGUGCUGUCGCCAACCCCUGCCCACCUUUGGUUUCAUCUCUCCAGUGCCCAGUUGGUGACAGACUCAGUGCCCUGGCCCCAACCAGGGGGCUGGGGGCUCUGUCUUUGCCUGUGGGAAGGGCUUCUCAGCUCUCCCAGCCAUCUGGGCCACCCUCUUUCUUCUGGCUUCUCCAUUGUGCAAAAUGCUCCUCUGCUCUUCUGCUCAGUGCUCAGGGGUCUCUAAGACCAGGGCAAGGUACCCAGGCCACUAGGGGCUUCCAGUGGGAGUCCACUGACCCCAGGAAUACCGCCUGUCUGGACCACCUUCUCCACCAAGCAAAUGGGGCUCAUACAAUCUUCUUGCCCGAAUCCUGACCUCCAGGACCCAGGACAAUCCUUGAGGCCACUGUUCCACCAGCUGGGCACCCAAUACUACCAACUCCAAGACUAUUGCACCUGCCCCAUUUGUGCAGGGGAAAGGGGCUGUCUCUUUAACAAGCCCCCAGCCCAUUUCCUGGGCCUCCCCAAGGGAAAGGAGCCUUUGGCCAACCCCUAGACCUGGCUGCUGCCACCCCAUCCCAUUCUACCCCUUCCCCUCUGUAGAAGGGCUUCGUAUGCCAGGGCUACCAGCCUAACAAUGCUCUCCUUCCUAGCACUGUCACCCCAAGCCAAGUUGGGGGUAAGGGGCAGAUAAAUAGGGUGAUUCUUCAGGCCCCUGGCUUUUCCGGGGUGGGGGUGGGGUCUCUGGGGUACAAGAGUCAAGACCCCAGCAGCACAGCUCCCAAAGGCACCAGACAACCCCGCAGCCUGUACCCACCCCUCGCAAUCUUGGACCACCUCCCCAAGCUUAGACUAAGUCAAGCAAGGGCCAUACCCUGAGUCUCCAGCCUCCCAGCCUGGGCCCCUAGGGAGCUGGAGAGGUAUGCGCCAAGGCAGUGGGGGUUUCUGGAAGGAAGAGGGGCUGAGGCUUUGAGAUGGCCACAGUGGGAGACGGGGGCUCUGCAGGACGCCCCUUACACCCUGGCCCCCUGAGGUGAAGAAGAGAACUUCACCUCAUCAUGGCUGACUGGGCUUCUCUGCCCCCCAACCUCCCUACCCCCUCCCCCAUGGGACCCCUGACCCUGACAAAGGGAAGCCCAACUGGAAGAAGGGGGCCUGGAGCCCAGGGUGCCCUGAGGCAGCCCUCCCACCCCCUGAGAUCAAGGCAAUGGUGGUUUUACAGGCUGACGGGUCAGUCAUGGCAGGGGCUGGGGGUUGAGAGGGCAGGGAGGGGGCAGGAUGCAGGCCCCCUAUAUCGGGAGCAGCACCCAGCCACCCCCUGAGCAAACCUUCCUGCUCCCAACUCACCCAACCAGGCCAGAGGCACAGUCAUCCCACCCCUGUCCAGCUGCCCCCCACAGCCUCAGGGCCCCUCUGUGAUGCUCAUCUGGAUGUGGGAGGCCAGCCUGAGCGGGGAUCCCCCCAGGGCACAGCGCAACAGUUCCAAAAAAAUAGAGAUUUGUAUUUUUAAGAAAAAUUAAAUAAAAGCCCAGCUCUGCUGAUAGGCAAAUGUUACCCCCGUCCCCACCCCCACCCACCUGUUGUUUCCCUGGCCUGCACCCCCAUCCCACCAUGGCCCCAGGGGUAUUUACAACAUGGAACAAUAGAGGCCUGGGUUGGGGGGCACUGCGGCAGGGAGGAGGGGGCACAGGGCAGGUCCCCCCCCCGAGGGGUCCCCCAAGACAACACGACAUCAACAAGAAAAGUUGCAAAUCAGGCAGAAAUGGGGACGUCAUUCCAAGGUCCUUAUAUACAGACACUGCAUGACCAGCAGGGAAUGGGGGCCCAGAUGGGACUAGGCGUGGGCAUGUGGCAGGCAGGUGGGCCAGUCCAGGAGCAGCACGGGAAGACAAGGCCUCCGCUCCACUCCCACCCCCGUCCCUACCCCACCUUUGGUAACAAAAGCCCUUCAGGGAGCCACUGGUGGUCAAGAGUUUCCUCUGGGAGCUCCCAGGGAAAGGGGCUCCCCAGUUCAGCCCUGCUUCAGGGCUAAAAUUGGGCAUGCUAUCCCCGCCCUGGUCGGCCAUGAGGGAAACAAUGAGUUAGAAGUACGCUGCCCACCCUUGACUCCACCAUCUGCCCAAAUCGAGGGGGUGCUCCCUGGAAGUCAAGGGAAGGAGCCCAGUCAUUGCAGAGGAGCCCUCUUGGGCAUCAGCUGGGGGAAGCCCCAUAAAGGGGAAGGGGCCCCUGGGGGCUGGGAGAUGGAAAUGAGGGGAGAGGACCUGGACCCUGCAUGGGAGAAGGGCCAGCGUGGUCAUGAGGUCAGUGAUACCCCCACUUGGGGCCCUGGCCAGGAAGUCCACGCUGAAGGGGUCGAGAGUGAGGCCCUGGAAUGGGCCAUUUGGGAGCUGGCCGGCGGCUGGGGGAGGGGGGCCGGCCGGCCAGUAGGGGGCUCACAGGUAGAUCUCGCGCUUGGCCGUCUGGGCAGAUGCCGGUGUGGCUGCGGGUGGGAAGUCCGAGGUCUGGGUCAGGGGGAUUUCCUCCAAGGUGGCCGAGUCCUUGCAGGAAUCAUGGCUACUGUGGGAGAAGGCACUGUAGGAGGGCAGGAGGCGCACGGGGGCCGUUUUGGUGUUCCGGUCUUCCGGGGGGCUGGGGCUGCCGGCGCCCGCAGGCUCCUGCCCUCCUCGGUCCUGGUAAGGCACGAAGGUGGAGAGUUUGAGGGCGCUGCUCUUGGUCCGGCGGCUGGGAGAUGACUGGCCAGGCAUCCAGCAUGUGUCAGAGUGGCCAAACUCACUGCACUCCCGGGUACAUGUGCCUGUCAUGGCG